AACGUAGGACGCAAGCGUUAUCCGGAUUUACUGGGCGUAAAGCGCGGGCAGGCGGUCUUGCCAGUCUGAUGUGAAAUCUCUCAGCUCAACUGGGAGCAGCCAUUGGAAACUACAAGACUGGAGUCUGACAGAGGUAGGCGGAAUUCCGGGUGGAGUGGUGAAAUGCGUAGAGAUCCGGAGGAACACCAGAGGCGAAGGCGGCCUACUGGGUCAGUACUGACGCUGAGCCGCGAAAGCCAGGGGAGCGAACGGG
RNAcentral lists this ribosomal RNA (253 nucleotides) under uncultured bacterium. Its description in RNAcentral is "partial 16S ribosomal RNA". It matches the Rfam family "Bacterial small subunit ribosomal RNA", at positions 524 to 776 of the family's 1533-position model. The record is from RNAcentral.